GCGGAAGUGGCGGAAUUGGCAGACGCGCUAGCUUGAGGGGCUAGUGGCAGAGAUGUUGUGGGGGUUCAAAUCCCCCCUUCCGCA
RNAcentral lists this transfer RNA (84 nucleotides) under Candidatus Omnitrophota bacterium. RNAcentral's name for it is "tRNA-Leu". It matches the Rfam family "tRNA". Rfam says of the family: Transfer RNA (tRNA) molecules are approximately 80 nucleotides in length. Their secondary structure includes four short double-helical elements and three loops (D, anti-codon, and T loops). The record is from RNAcentral. Lineage: Bacteria; Pseudomonadati; Candidatus Omnitrophota.